This 405-nucleotide ribosomal RNA is filed under the name uncultured bacterium. Its description in RNAcentral is "bacterial SSU rRNA". It matches the Rfam family "Bacterial small subunit ribosomal RNA", at positions 355 to 776 of the family's 1533-position model. The record is from RNAcentral. RNAcentral also lists the same sequence under 1 other name.
UGGGGAAUAUUGCACAAUGGGGGAAACCCUGAUGCAGCGACGCCGCGUGAAGGAAGAAGUAUCUCGGUAUGUAAACUUCUAUCAGCAGGGAAGAAUUAGGACGGUACCUGACUAAGAAGCCCCGGCUAACUACGUGCCAGCAGCCGCGGUAAUACGUAGGGGGCAAGCGUUAUCCGGAUUUACUGGGUGUAAAGGGAGCGUAGACGGAUGGACAAGUCUGAUGUGAAAGGCUGGGGCUCAACCCCGGGACUGCAUUGGAAACUGCCCGUCUUGAGUGCCGGAGAGGUAAGCGGAAUUCCUAGUGUAGCGGUGAAAUGCGUAGAUAUUAGGAGGAACACCAGUGGCGAAGGCGGCUUACUGGACGGUAACUGACGUUGAGGCUCGAAAGCGUGGGGAGCAAACAGG